Molecule: ribosomal RNA, 472 nt
Filed under: uncultured bacterium
Lineage: Bacteria
Description: bacterial SSU rRNA
Rfam family: Bacterial small subunit ribosomal RNA
Source: RNAcentral
UGGGGAAUUUUGGACAAUGGGCGCAAGCCUGAUCCAGCCAUGCCGCGUGCGGGAAGAAGGCCUUCGGGUUGUAAGCCGCUUUUGUCAGGGAAGAAACGCUCUGGGCUAAUACCCUGGGGUAAUGACGGUACCUGAAGAAUAAGCACCGGCUAACUACGUGCCAGCAGCCGCGGUAAUACGUAGGGUGCAAGCGUUAAUCGGAAUUACUGGGCGUAAAGCGUGCGCAGGCGGUUAUGCAAGACAGAUGUGAAAUCCCCGGGCUCAACCUGGGAACUGCAUUUGUGACUGUAUAGCUAGAGUACGGUAGAGGGGGAUGGAAUUCCGCGUGUAGCAGUGAAAUGCGUAGAUAUGCGGAGGAACACCGAUGGCGAAGGCAAUCCCCUGGACCUGUACUGACGCUCAUGCACGAAAGCGUGGGGAGCAAACAGGAUUAGAUACCCCAGUAGUCCCUGAGCGGGCUGGCAAGGCGCAU